CCUGUAGAUUCUGGCUGGCUGGUAGACAAGUAUCAUGCACUGCGUUUUGAGUUGGUAAAUGGUAAGGUCAGUUUUAGAGUUUGUUGAUUUGAAUUGGUUGGUGGGGUACAAUGAAUGUCCAGUUAUUUUGAUAUGGGAAUUAUUAGGGCUAGAUAUAGGAUUUGGGAGCCAUCAUCAUCUCUAGUUUAACUCUAAAAAUGGCUAAAAUAUCCAAGAAAAUGAUAAACUGAGAGAGGAACAGUGGCUGUAACACAGAACCUGGGAAGAGUGCUGACGGUGUGGGAGGUGAGUGAAGGAAGAGGCUUCCAUAAGAAGUCAUCAGGGAUGUAAGAGAAGGGCAAGAAGCAGAGAUGUUUUGGAAAGUGAUGGAAGUGAGUAUGGCCAGAAUAAGGAAGGUGACACUCAGCAGGAGAAAUGCUUCAGAACUACAAAUCCUAAAAAGACUGAUGGAACCUAGCUGCUGAGAGAUCUUCUUGACUGUAGAGACCUGUACUGUAUAAGAUGUGGCCACUGAGCACUAGAGGUGUGGCUGGACCAUGCUGCAAUUUGCUAUAAGCAUAAAGUUCACACCUCCAAAGAGUUUCCCUCAUGACUCAUUUCAGUCUCCUACAGUGAUUCAGACUACAGCCUGGAGGUGAGAGUGACGGGCGGUCUCAGCAUCCUAACCACUGCCGUGUCUUCCGUGUUGGAGAAGUUCUCCUACAUCCUCGAGGACAAGGUUAGCUGCUACGGGCAGACCGAGAAGCCAGAGGCCCCACUGCAUACUCUUUGCCACUUCUUGGUGUCCAGCGUUGCAGCAUUCUUCCUCGGAUGCCGUGUAGAGCCCCGGCGCUGGACUUGGAACAAGGAGGUGAGCUCCAUGAUGAGCAACACCUGCAGAAAGGCUGGGCCGCUGGUGUCUGAGGAGUGGUAGUGGAUUCACUGGGCCUCUGACUCAGGUUCAUCCAUCCUCGCCUGAAUGUGGUGAAUUAAGACUUUGUUCCUACUGGUCAGCAGUAACUAGUGUUGUCCUUGAAGAGUCAUCCCUCUGGCUUCAUUUCCCCUGGGAUUGCUAUUGUGGUGACUCCUCCUCAUCACUCCUCCUCAUCCUCCAGGUCUCAGCUCAAGGGCUGGCUCUGAGGAGGCCACCUGUGACCCCCCAGUAAGUUUAUUCUGCACACCUUUGCCCUUCAAAUUCCUACUGGCUUUAUAGGAGUUGAUGAUCAGUGUGUGUGGUUUCUAUGUUUUGCAACAUUUAUUUGUUUAAAUGAGGAGUGGGGAUGAAAAAGAGAUAUUUUCAGAUCCUCCAUCUGCUGAUUCACUCCCCAAAGGCCAGCAAGAGCUGCGGAUGGGCCAGGCUGAAGCCAGAAGCCUGGAGCUAGGAACCUUGGUCCUCAAGUACUGGAGCCAUCAUAUAUCAUCUCUCGGGUAUAUUAGCACAAAACCUGGAUCAGAAGUGGAGUGGCCAGGACUCAACUAGGCACUCCACUAUGGGAUAUGCACAUCCCAAGCAGCUGCUGAACCUGCUGAGCCAAAAUACUCACCCCUAUGUGUGUAUUUGAAGAACUGCAUUAAAUGUAUUUUAUUUGAAAGGCAUCAUGCACAGACGCGCACGCACGCGCACACACAGAGAGAGAGAGAGAGAGAGAACUCUUAUCUGUAUUUUCACUGCCAAAAUGUCCACAACAGCAGGAGCAGGGCCAGGCCCAGCAGGCCAGAACUCAGAGUUUCCCAUGUGAUGGCAGGAACCCAAGCACUGCUGCCUCUCAGGGUGCACAUUAGCAAGCUGCUGGAAUCCACAAGGGAGCUGGGACUGGAACCAAAGCACCCCCCAUUAGGUUGGGAGCAUCCCCAGACAAAUCUUACUUCUGGGCCAAACGACCCCCCCAUAUCAAUGUUGAAUACGCAACAAAAGGAUGAAUGAAUGAAUGAAUGAGUGGCAAAGGGUUAGGAAGACAGGCACAUGGAAUUUGCUGUUUCCCAGGGCUCUGCAGCAUGAGUGAGAAGGGCUUUUUGCCUCUCGUUGUUUCCUGCUUGGGAGCUCACCAGGGAAACUCAACUCUGAGUGCUUCUGCAGCCUUGCUUUUGCUUUGCAGAGUCUUGUAGAACAAAGCCCUCAUGGCCCUUGCUUUACUUGUUUCUUUACCAAAGUGGAUUUUGUAAGACUUGUAUUUCAGCUUUGCAAAACAGUGUUGCCAAGAAUGUUCACCUGGGGAGGCCAAGCAGCCUCUUUCAAGAAACUGACAUGUUUUGUCUACUAUUGCUCUAGAAAGGAUAGGGCCGGGCCCCAGGC
Molecule: non-coding RNA, 2272 nt
Organism: Oryctolagus cuniculus (rabbit)
Lineage: Eukaryota; Metazoa; Chordata; Mammalia; Lagomorpha; Leporidae
Source: RefSeq, a predicted model, not a curated record